This 304-nucleotide ribosomal RNA is filed under the name uncultured bacterium. RNAcentral's name for it is "partial 16S ribosomal RNA". It matches the Rfam family "Bacterial small subunit ribosomal RNA", at positions 506 to 807 of the family's 1533-position model. The record is from RNAcentral.
CAGCAGCAGCCACGGUAAUACGGAGGGCGCGAGCGUUACCCGGAUUUACUGGGCGUAAAGGGCGUGUAGGCGGCCUGGGGCGUCCCAUGUGAAAGGCCACGGCUCAACCGUGGAGGAGCGUGGGAUACGCUCAGGCUAGAGGGUGGGAGAGGGUGGUGGAAUUCCCGGAGUAGCGGUGAAAUGCGCAGAUACCGGGAGGAACGCCGAUGGCGAAGGCAGCCACCUGGUCCACUUCUGACGCUGAGGCGCGAAAGCGUGGGGAGCAAACCGGAUUAGAUACCCCGGUAGUCCCUGUCUCUUAUAC